AUGUGGCAUUUGUACACGUGCUUAUCAUCACGCGUGUACAGUCCUGGAAAAGUCGGUCAACACACAGACCGGGGUCGGUUUACUGCACGCCCCGUAGAGGAGCUUCAACGCGCCGUUACCGGGACGGGGACCCCGAGAGCCGCCGAGCAGCCCCUGAGGUCAGCACCUGGGCUCGGACAGGCCCGGCCUGCUCCCGACCUGCGACCCGCAGCGCCCGGCACCGCGCCCCUCUCCCCGUGCGCCCUCUCCGCGCCCCUCCCGGUGCGCCCCCCCCGCGCCCCUCUCUCCGCGCGCCCUCUCCGCGCCCCUCCCCGCGCGCCCUCUCCGCGCCCCUCCCCGCGCGCCCUCUCCGCGCCCCUCCCCGUGCGCUCCUCCCCGCGCGCCCUCCCCGCGCCCCUCCCCGCGCCCCUCCCCGCGCGCCCUCUCCGCGCCCCUCCCCGUGCGCUCCUCCCCGUGCGCCCUCUCCGCGCGCCCCCCCGCCCCCCUCCCCGCGCGCCCUCCCCGCGCGCCCUCUCCGCGCCCCUCCCCGUGCGCUCCUCCCCGUGCGCCCCUCUCCGCGCGCACUCUGGGCGCCCCUCCCCGCGCCCCCCCGGCCCCUCCCCGCGCGCCCCUCCCCGCGCACCCCGGCCAGGCGGGGGCGCGCGGACCCGCAGCCCCGGGCGCAGGAGGCUCGCGCGGCGUGCGCGCCCGCGGCCUGCGUGGCGGCGCCCCUCCCCCUCGGCGUGCGCGCGGCCGGCGGCGGGGGCGGCGGGGAGGGCGGAGCCGGCGCCGCGGGCCGCGGGCGGAGGGCGGAGGCUGAGGCGGAGGCUGAGCGGCGGCGGCGGAGGCGGCGGGGUCGGGCGGCGCUCGGGGCCGCGCUCGGGGCCGCGCCAGGCCACGGCCAGCGCGCUGAGCCCCGGCGUCCGGCGUCCCAGCGGAGCCCCGGCGGCCUGGCGGUCCGAGCCCGGCGGCGUGCGGCGCGGAGCGGCCCGGGGCGAGGUGAGCGCGGGCGGGCGGGCGGGCGGGGGCUCGGACCCGGGGCUGGACACGGCCGCGGGCCCGCGUUUAUGUAAGCGCCGCCGGGCAGGUGGGGAGGCCGGGCCGGGCGGGGGUCCGCGGGCGGCUGCUGCCCGGGGAGGGGAGGCUGCGCCCGGGACGGCCCCGCGUCUCCUCCCCGGGGCGCCGCGUCUGCGCGGGAUGCUCUGCGCCGCGGACCGGGAGGCUGCGCCCCGGGUGAAGAUGCGCCCUUGGAGACGCUGCGCCCCGGGGUGA
This 1251-nucleotide long non-coding RNA is filed under the name Canis lupus familiaris (dog). RNAcentral's name for it is "lncRNA (ENSCAFG00030025037.1)". The record is from RNAcentral. Lineage: Eukaryota; Metazoa; Chordata; Mammalia; Carnivora; Canidae.